Long non-coding RNA from Passer domesticus (house sparrow), 3358 nucleotides. RefSeq lists it as uncharacterized. The transcript has 3 exons. The record is from RefSeq and is a predicted model, not a curated record. NCBI's taxonomy places the organism in Eukaryota, Metazoa, Chordata, Aves, Passeriformes, Passeridae.
ACACACCGGGGCUGCCCGCCGGGAACACCGGGGCUGCCGGCCGGGACACACGGGGGCUGCCCGCAAAGCCUGGCCGCUGCCGGCUGCGGAACACGCCUGGAGGAAACAGACGCGCUCAUGUCCAACAACAGUUUGCUUGUAGUUCACGUGAGCUGAGUUAGCUGACAGGCUGGAGCCAAGACAUGGGAUGUUCAACACCAUGCGUUCUUCAGGUUGUGAAUUAGACCAUCUCAGGAUGAGGGGAAAUUGAGUAAGAUGUUUUAGAAAUUUGUAGUGUGAUUUUCUGAAUACUAGACAACAUGUAAAAUUACUAUGAAUCUCGCAUUCCCUGAACUCUGUCAACUGUACAUUGCAAUCUCUGAUUUUCCUGUCACCAGUGCAGAUUUACAGUAAUAUUAACUCUGGUGUAAUGGUGUUGAUGUAAUCUUGGUGACACCCAAGAAACGCUUUUCAAGCCCAUGGAAAUAAAUAGAUGCUUCCCUAUGAAUCAUGCACAUAGAGAGAAUCUGAGGAUAACUGUGGUGACCACAAUUCCAUGACCAGCUGGUACCUCAGUGAUACCUGGGUAAACAACAAUAGUAGUUACUCAGAAACAUGAAGACGUCAGGGCUAAUACAUUUUCUUUUCUGCUCUUUUAUUUCUAGUGUUCCCAGAAUCUGAGAGAUACAGCUUUUGUAACAAUUCUUAGAGAAGUGCCACCUCUGUAAGUGUACAGGAAGUUCUUUCUAUUUAAUUGUUGAGGCCAUUUUUGCAUAAAAGAAGUGAGUUGAUGCAUAAUGUUGUGUAUCUAAAAGAUGUAUGCCAAAAUUUCUGCUUCCGAUAAUUCAGGUAUCUUGUUAGUGGUGUACCAGAUGCACAAAGUGUGCCUGGGGAACUGGGACUGUCGUUUGUUCUGCCUAGAGCAAACAAAGCAUAGAGUCUGUGAACAUGCAUCUGCAAUAGUGUUCAUGCUGCUGUUAAUAUGGCAUCGCUAGCACCACUAAAAAUAAAAGAAGGUUUGUGCAUUUGGAAGAACAUUUGUUUACUUGUGUCUUCUCAUCCCAUUUCAGUCUCUUGCUCUGGGAAUCUAACCAACCAUAGUGGAAAAAAGAGCAAAUGAGGAAGGCCUCAAGCCUCUCUUAGGGACCAAAGAUAAUUAACAGGAACAUUUAGAGGGAGAGUAGAUAUAAUGAAGCCCUGAAUAUGUGCUAGCUUCAGGCCCAUGAAAGUAUGGCUGUUUUUGUAAUAGACUAUGGAACUAAUUGCAUGUCUGAGGCAGGCACUGUGGGGUUUGACUGCAGCACUCCUCAGUGUAAUUGAAUUUGUGUAGCAUCUGUGAGCAGGGGAGGUCCGGUGCCACAAGGCCCAGAGGGUGUCCUUAGGCAGCCCAGUGAAAGUUUCUUGGUUGUUUGUCCCUCCUUCCAGGGACCACUUUGUUUUCCCCGCAGUGAACGAUGUAUGAUGGGAUUGUUGCUUAAAGCAGAAGUUCUCCCAGUAAGAACACAGAGUCCUUAUUUACCCUUUUGAGUAGAGGGGUAUUUUGGAGCAGGAGUGCACCAUUGCUUAGCUUUUUCAGCUUUUUCACUGCUCUUCGUGUCCUCCUUGUAUGCUUUUCUUCUCCCUAGCUGCAAAUGCAGGAACCUGGAGUAAAACAGUGAUGUCUGAGCCUGGGAAGAGAAACACUGGCAAUGCAAUGCAGUACAGGAUGAGUGAGAAAGCAAUAAUCUGUUUUAUAGUAUGGCUGCUCCCCUUCACUGGAGCUAAAUGGAUUCUGGUGAUCUGAAUUAACUCUGCAGUGAUGAUUUCUCCUAAGACAUCCUCUCUGGGGCUUUUCAGGGACACAGUCUCCUCAUCAAUUCAGGUUGGCUGCUCCUAUGUGAUGCAACCAGAUGCAGCAUCUCUUCUGACUCAGCCUCACCUUUGUCCAUUAAUCUAAGGUCCAGGCACUGAACUGGGAGAGGAGGAAGGAAAGAUGCUUGAACACAGGGUAGACUAAUCCAGAGACAUGGCUUCAGUCCUCCAGAACAAGGUGUUCCCAGCCCUCACACCGUGUGCUGAUACUGCGCUCUAAGGGGCCGUGAGCAUUCACAGCCCUGAAUAAAAACCCUUCUCAAAACAGAAGGCUCUUUUCAGCUGCUACUAAUUGUUGAACAGCAACAGUCUUAAGUAAAUUAUGCUUCCACAGUAUUUAUACUGAGAGAGGGCAAAUUAGAUGAAAUUAUUUCAAUAGAAUGAGGGUCACUUUGGUUUGCAAAACAAUAUUGAACACAGCAUCCAUAAUAUUGCAAGAGUGGGUUAUUGCACCAAAAGACAGCACUCACUAACCCAAAGGCAGCCUCUCAGCAACAGUCUGACGAGGAUAAGCACCAUUGCUCUGUGGCAGCAAGGACAGGAUCAGCCACAAGUACAGAUUAAAGAAGUACUCCAUUCACUUGAAGGAUCUAGGGCACUUAGGUACAGAGAUCUUCCCAUUGCCUUGCAAUAUCUUUGUAGUCAUCUUGUAGGUAUGAAUGUACAUCAAAAACCAGGCUCAGCCUCCACAGAUGUAUUCAGUAGUUCUAGCCAGUAGAGGCUGAAUAAUAUCAGUGAAUAAACCUGAGCUCUGGAGUACAACUACUGUGGUAAAAUGUUGAAAUUAUCCUAGGCACAUCUUUGGCUGAGAUUGGCUAUUGCUGUCCUGAACAAUUCCCAGACACAGUCUGAGAGCUAGAACAGACCAUUCCCAGAGCCACUGCCUAUGGGCAUGUGGCCAUUUUGUUUGGAAGAAUAGAAAACGUUAAUUGCUGGGCUUCAUUACCUCUGUAGCAGCUGGCAUGAGUGCUAGAGAAUGGUCCCAGGUACAUUUAAAGCACCAGGUAUAGAUGGUGCACGUAUGGUUUCACUGCAACUUCUCAUCAAGAGAUUCUUGCAGACCCUCGGAAAGUUCCACUCUCUGUGCUCCCUCACUAGCAGCCAAACACAGCACCUGCCUAAGUGCCAACAGGCCAUAAAAUAUGUCCAGGACUUCUCCCAAAGCAGCUUGAGGCACUCCAAAAACAGCAUUAGUGACUGCUACAGACUAGCAGUGCUUUUUUAGGUGUGACAAUAAACAUUUGUGAAAACAGAUGAAGAACGGGCUGCCCACUGAAAAGGGGAGAGGAAGAAAAGGUGCUCACAAAUCUGGAAGCCAUCAGGCCUAUUUGGGUUAGAGCUGGCACCUCCAGCAGGAAUAAUGUCACAUGAGCAUAGGAGAAUGGCACACAGCAGCCAGGCUGUGUGUCACAGGGAGCAGUGACAUGGCAAACAGGCAGCAAGGAUAUCUUGCAGAGGAGAGAGCAGAAACAGUGAAUUAUCAGCAGAGAACCAUAAAGGGAAAACUGGGAAUAUGUGGGAAAGAGCU